Molecule: ribosomal RNA, 555 nt
Filed under: Alternaria alternata
Lineage: Eukaryota; Fungi; Ascomycota; Dothideomycetes; Pleosporales; Pleosporaceae
Description: eukaryotic LSU rRNA
Rfam family: 5.8S ribosomal RNA (bases 201-354)
Source: RNAcentral
AGGAUCUCCGUAGGUGACCUGCGGAGGGAUCAUUACACAAAUAUGAAGGCGGGCUGGAACCUCUCGGGGUUACAGCCUUGCUGAAUUAUUCACCCUUGUCUUUUGCGUACUUCUUGUUUCCUUGGUGGGUUCGCCCACCACUAGGACAAACAUAAACCUUUUGUAAUUGCAAUCAGCGUCAGUAACAAAUUAAUAAUUACAACUUUCAACAACGGAUCUCUUGGUUCUGGCAUCGAUGAAGAACGCAGCGAAAUGCGAUAAGUAGUGUGAAUUGCAGAAUUCAGUGAAUCAUCGAAUCUUUGAACGCACAUUGCGCCCUUUGGUAUUCCAAAGGGCAUGCCUGUUCGAGCGUCAUUUGUACCCUCAAGCUUUGCUUGGUGUUGGGCGUCUUGUCUCUAGCUUUGCUGGAGACUCGCCUUAAAGUAAUUGGCAGCCGGCCUACUGGUUUCGGAGCGCAGCACAAGUCGCACUCUCUAUCAGCAAAGGUCUAGCAUCCAUUAAGCCUUUUUUUCAACUUUUGACCUCGGAUCAGGUAGGGAUACCCGCUGAACUUAA